AUCUGGCGUCUUUGGCGUCCGAGUUGUAAUUUGAAGAAGGUAUCUUUGGGCCCGGCUCUUGUCUAUGUUCCUUGGAACAGGACGUCACAGAGGGUGAGAAUCCCGUGCGAUGAGAUGACCCGGGUCUGUGUAAAGUUCCUUCGACGAGUCGAGUUGUUUGGGAAUGCAGCUCUAAGUGGGUGGUAAAUUCCAUCUAAAGCUAAAUAUUGGCGAGAGACCGAUAGCGAACAAGUACAGUGAUGGAAAGAUGAAAAGAACUUUGAAAAGAGAGUGAAAAAGUACGUGAAAUUGUUGAAAGGGAAGGGCUUGAGAUCAGACUUGGUAUUUUGCAUGCUGCUCUCUCGGGGGCGGCCGCUGCGGUUUACCGGGCCAGCAUCGGUUUGGAGCGGCAGGAUAAUGGCGGAGGAAUGUGGCACGGCUUCUGCUGUGUGUUAUAGCCUCUGACGAUACUGCCAGCCUAGACCGAGGACUGCGGUUUUUACCUAGGAUGUUGGCAUAAUGAUCUUAAGUCGCCCGUCUUG
This 521-nucleotide ribosomal RNA is filed under the name Candida albicans. Its description in RNAcentral is "partial large subunit ribosomal RNA". It matches the Rfam family "Eukaryotic large subunit ribosomal RNA", at positions 120 to 656 of the family's 3401-position model. Lineage: Eukaryota; Fungi; Ascomycota; Pichiomycetes; Serinales; Debaryomycetaceae. The record is from RNAcentral.